This 564-nucleotide long non-coding RNA is filed under the name Sander lucioperca (pikeperch). Its description in RNAcentral is "lncRNA (ENSSLUG00000011492.1)". Lineage: Eukaryota; Metazoa; Chordata; Actinopteri; Perciformes; Percidae. The record is from RNAcentral.
AGCAAAACAGUUUCCAGUAAAGGCUUCUUCUCCUCUUCCUCCUCCUCCUCCUCCUCCACGUCAUCUCCUAUAUCUUCCCAUCGCCAUUUCAACAGAGGAAGAAGAGAAGCAACCAGAGAACAAGACAGACACGAUGGCUGGAGCUCCAUAUUUUACGAUGAAGGCAGCAAAAAAGUUUCCAGUAAAGGCUUCUUCUCCUCUUCCUCCUCCUCCUCCUCCUCCACGUCAUCUCCUAUAUCUUCCCAUCGCCAUUUCAACAGAGGAAGAAGAGAAGCAACCAGAGAACAAGACAGACACGAUGGCUGGAGCUCCGACAGGUAACACCUACUAUAUUAUUUGUGACAUCCUGCGGGACAUGAGUGACGAUUACUUCAAGGCUUUUAAGUGGAACCUGAUAAACAUGACAGACAUCCCACAGUGCGAGCUGGAGCCAGCAGACAGGCUUAAGACCGUGGACCUGAUGAUGCCAUAUCACGGUCAGGAUGCCAUGAACAUGACCAUGGAUUCAUUGAGACAGAUCCAGGGGAACGACCUGGUGGAGUGUUUGACUGCUACCUGAGAGGG